This 136-nucleotide ribosomal RNA is filed under the name uncultured bacterium. RNAcentral's name for it is "partial 16S ribosomal RNA". The record is from RNAcentral.
CACGUAGUUAGCCGAGACUUAUUCCUGAGAUACUGUCCUUUCUCAUCUCUCAGAAAAGUGCUUUACGACCCGAAGGCCUUCAUCGCACACGCGGCGUUGCUGCUUCAGGCUUUCGCCCAUUGUGCAAUAUUCCCUA